GCGGGCGUAGCGCAGAGGUCGUCGCGCCGGGACUCAUCUUCCCGGAGGACGCCGGUUCGAAUCCGGCCGUCCCGCCC
This 77-nucleotide transfer RNA is filed under the name Virgisporangium ochraceum. RNAcentral describes it as "tRNA-Met". It matches the Rfam family "tRNA". Rfam says of the family: Transfer RNA (tRNA) molecules are approximately 80 nucleotides in length. Their secondary structure includes four short double-helical elements and three loops (D, anti-codon, and T loops). Lineage: Bacteria; Bacillati; Actinomycetota; Actinomycetes; Micromonosporales; Micromonosporaceae. The record is from RNAcentral.